CUGGAACAGAGGAGCUGCAUGUGCGCUUCCUUUGCUGCAAGCAUACUUUUAGAAUGUCAGCCAGUAUUACUGAGUGUUCAAAGGACUUCACAUAUAUCACGCCGGUAAUCCUUAUUGCAGCCUUCUAAAUCUGCAGGUACAGGCUCACAUGAUGGAGUGCUCCUGCUAGAAUGCUCCCCUCCACAUAGAAAACUAACAUGACAGGAGAAUCUUUCUAGCCUCGUCUUCUCCCCAGUAUGCUGGUUCUCCACGAAAAAAGUGGCUUUUCCCCCCAUACAAGGAAGAAUCCAGUCAUGGAUAAAGCGCUGGGCCAGAGAGGUGCUGCCGCCAUACAGGAUACUGGCUAGAUCGCCGCGAUGGC
Hemicordylus capensis (graceful crag lizard) is the source of this 361-nucleotide long non-coding RNA. RefSeq lists it as uncharacterized. The record is from RefSeq and is a predicted model, not a curated record. NCBI's taxonomy places the organism in Eukaryota, Metazoa, Chordata, Lepidosauria, Squamata, Cordylidae. The transcript is spliced from 3 exons.